RNAcentral lists this ribosomal RNA (750 nucleotides) under uncultured bacterium. RNAcentral's name for it is "bacterial SSU rRNA". It matches the Rfam family "Bacterial small subunit ribosomal RNA", at positions 43 to 784 of the family's 1533-position model. The record is from RNAcentral.
CAGGCCUAACACAUGCAAGUCGAGCGGUAACAGGGAUAGCUUGCUAUCUGCUGACGAGCGGCGGACGGGUGCGUAACGCGUAGGAAUUUGCCCGAUAGUGGGGGGUAGCCCGGAGAAAUUCGGAUUAAUACCGCAUACCUUCUACGGAAGAAAGCAGGGGAUCUUCGGACCUUGCGCUAUCGGAUGAGCCUGCGUCGGAUUAGCUAGUUGGUAGGGUAAAUGCCUACCAAGGCGACGAUCCGUAGCUGGUCUGAGAGGAUGAUCAGCCACACUGGGACUGAGACACGGCCCAGACUCCUACGGGAGGCAGCAGUGGGGAAUAUUGCACAAUGGGCGCAAGCCUGAUGCAGCCAUGCCGCGUGUGUGAAGAAGGCCCUAGGGUUGUAAAGCACUUUCAGCGAGGAGGAAGGGUAUCUUGCUAAUAUCAAGAUGCAUUGACGUUACUCGCAGAAGAAGCACCGGCUAACUCCGUGCCAGCAGCCGCGGUAAUACGGAGGGUGCGAGCGUUAAUCGGAAUUACUGGGCGUAAAGCGUGCGUAGGCGGUUAAAUAAGUUGGAUGUGAAAGCCCUGGGCUCAACCUAGGAACUGCACCCAAAACUGUUUAACUAGAGUACGAGAGAGGAGUGUGGAAUUUCCUGUGUAGCGGUGGAAUGCGUAGAUAUAGGAAGGAACACCAGUGGCGAAGGCGGCACUCUGGCUCGAUACUGACGCUGAGGUACGAAAGCAUGGGUAGCAAACAGGAUUAGAUA